AUGCGGCAGCUACACAUGCAGUCGAGCGGUAGCACAGAGAGCUUGCUCUCGGGUGACGAGCGGCGGACGGGUGAGUAAUGUCUGGGAAACUGCCUGAUGGAGGGGGAUAACUACUGGAAACGGUAGCUAAUACCGCAUAAUGUCGCAAGACCAAAGUGGGGGACCUUCGGGCCUCAUGCCAUCAGAUGUGCCCAGAUGGGAUUAGCUAGUAGGUGGGGUAACGGCUCACCUAGGCGACGAUCCCUAGCUGGUCUGAGAGGAUGACCAGCCACACUGGAACUGAGACACGGUCCAGACUCCUACGGGAGGCAGCAGUGGGGAAUAUUGCACAAUGGGCGCAAGCCUGAUGCAGCCAUGCCGCGUGUGUGAAGAAGGCCUUCGGGUUGUAAAGCACUUUCAGCGGGGAGGAAGGCGUUAAGGUUAAUAACCUUGGCGAUUGACGUUACCCGCAGAAGAAGCACCGGCUAACUCCGUGCCAGCAGCCGCGGUAAUACGGAGGGUGCAAGCGUUAAUCGGAAUUACUGGGCGUAAAGCGCACGCAGGCGGUCUGUCAAGUCGGAUGUGAAAUCCCCGGGCUCAACCUGGGAACUGCAUUCGAAACUGGCAGGCUAGAGUCUUGUAGAGGGGGGUAGAAUUCCAGGUGUAGCGGUGAAAUGCGUAGAGAUCUGGAGGAAUACCGGUGGCGAAGGCGGCCCCCUGGACAAAGACUGACGCUCAGGUGCGAAAGCGUGGGGAGCAAACAGGAUUAGAUACCCUGGUAGUCCACGCCGUAAACGAUGUCGAUUUGGAGGUUGUGCCCUUGAGGCGUGGCUUCCGGAGCUAACGCGUAAAUCGACCGCCUGGGGAGUACGGCCGCAAGGUUAAAACUCAAUGAUUGACGGGCCGCACAAGCGGUGAGCAUGUGGUUUAAUCGAUGCAACGCGAGAACCUUACCUGCUCUUGACAUCCA
This 949-nucleotide ribosomal RNA is filed under the name Klebsiella pneumoniae. Its description in RNAcentral is "bacterial SSU rRNA". It matches the Rfam family "Bacterial small subunit ribosomal RNA", at positions 37 to 990 of the family's 1533-position model. Lineage: Bacteria; Pseudomonadati; Pseudomonadota; Gammaproteobacteria; Enterobacterales; Enterobacteriaceae. The record is from RNAcentral.